CGCCCCCAAGAAGAGCUCACCAGCAUUGGCAAUGUCUUUGAGGAGGAGAAGAAGGAUGAAGGGCCUCAGGUUCCAACUAUUGACUUGAAGGAUAUUGAGUCUGAGGACGAGGUGGUCCGGGAGAGAUGCCGGGAGGAGUUGAAGAAAGCUGCCAUGGAGUGGGGUGUGAUGCACCUUGUUAACCAUGGCAUCUCUGAUGACCUUAUCAACCGUGUUAAGGUUGCUGGAGAGACCUUUUUCAAUCUCCCCAUGGAGGAAAAGGAGAAGUAUGCUAAUGACCAGGCCUCCGGCAAGAUCGCUGGCUAUGGCAGCAAGCUUGCCAACAAUGCUAGUGGACAGCUUGAGUGGGAGGACUACUUCUUCCACCUCAUCUUCCCUGAAGACAAGCGCGAUAUGACCAUCUGGCCUAAGACACCAAGCGACUACGUGUAAGUUCAAUUCAUUGUUUAUGUAAUUAUACGAUGUUUGCUGAUCUGUUUUUCCUCUGGCCAAGUAGUUACUAACUGAAUUUUCUAUUAUAAAAAAAAAUCUGCAAAUUUUACUAAUUUUGAAAUUGUUUCUGGGUUCUAAGAAUUACUUGUUCAAACUUGUGAUUGCAGUCCAGCAACCUGUGAGUACUCGGUGAAACUUAGGAGCCUGGCAACCAAGAUACUAUCGGUGCUAUCGCUUGGGUUGGGAUUGGAAGAAGGGAGACUAGAAAAGGAAGUUGGUGGGAUGGAAGAGCUACUACUCCAAAAGAAGAUCAACUACUACCCCAAGUGUCCCCAGC
Molecule: long non-coding RNA, 769 nt
Filed under: Vitis vinifera (wine grape)
Lineage: Eukaryota; Viridiplantae; Streptophyta; Magnoliopsida; Vitales; Vitaceae
Description: long non-coding RNA (VVIN_LNC000390)
Source: RNAcentral